RNAcentral lists this long non-coding RNA (883 nucleotides) under Homo sapiens (human). Its description in RNAcentral is "psoriasis susceptibility 1 candidate 3, transcript variant 10 (PSORS1C3)". The record is from RNAcentral. Lineage: Eukaryota; Metazoa; Chordata; Mammalia; Primates; Hominidae.
GUUUUGUCUGGGGCUCGUCCUGCUACAUUUCUUGGUUCCCUGAACAGGAAGCGAGGUAACUGACGGACGGCCAAGGCAGCCCCUUGGGUGGCUUAGGCCUGCCCUGUGGAGCAUCCCUGCGGUGGACUCUGGCCAGCCUGAGUGACGCGAUCCAAAGAGCGCUCCCGGGUAGGAAAUUCCCCGGGUGGAACGCCUCGCCAGAGCAGCACGUAGCAGGCCCCCGAGGAGGAUUAACACACUGGCUGAACACUGGGAAGGAACUGGCACUUGGAGUCCGGACAUCUGAAACUUGCAACCCACUCUCUGUGCUAUGACUUCAUUACUCUUUCCCAGCCCAGCCCUGGGCAAGCCCCUUACGAAGUCUCAGGCUACCUGGAUGACCACCCUUUCUUAUGAUGCUGCAAGGAGGGCAGGUGGGCAGAGCCCCGUGCAUCCUGGGCUCAGGCCAGGGACCCAAGAGCUUGGGAGAAGCUGGUUCUCAGACUGAAGGCCAGAGCCCAGCACCUUGUCACCAUCCCGGGGAGCAUCAUGGCACACAACAACCAGAGCCAAGGUGUGCAGAGAAGUCUACAUUCCCAUGUCAAAUUGACAGGCCUCGGAAGUCAAAAUAAGUGGUUUCCUAGACCGGGUCGAGAGCAAGUCUCUAUUGGUCCCAACUGAGUUUUUUCAGCUGGUUUUUCAACCAAACAGCACCUCAUCUCCCAGUGAGGGGAAGGGAAGGCUGGGCUGAGAGCAGCAAGGCUGCUCAUCUCACCUCUCCCCACCCAGCCAUGCCAGCCGCCUCACCUGGUGGGGAGAGGUGGGCCUCACCUGGGUCCCCUGGCAGUGCUCUGUGAAGGGUCUUGACAUUGCACUGUAAUAAUAAAGGUGUGUGUGAAGUAUC